UUUUAGUUUUGACUCCCAGUGACCGUCUUAUUCUGGACAUAUCGGGGAGGAGGCAGUAAAAGUUUGACAAAUUUUUAACAAAUCAAGAUUGAGUGAAAAAAGAAAAAAGUCUUUCGUCUUUCACUUUAUUUACUCGACGGGUCGGGACGGAUUCGAAACGAGUUAUAUUUUUUUGUAUUUUUUGUUCUCAAGUCCAAUUCAGAACAAGUUAGGACAAGAGUA
Molecule: long non-coding RNA, 222 nt
Filed under: Ananas comosus (pineapple)
Lineage: Eukaryota; Viridiplantae; Streptophyta; Magnoliopsida; Poales; Bromeliaceae
Description: long non-coding RNA (ACOM_LNC033820)
Source: RNAcentral